UCAGAAGCAAACUACAAAUAAACAUGGAUUCACUUUACAAUAUUCAGCAACAUGAUAAAGGGCUAGAUUAAACAUGCAUAAUACAAGAUUGAAUACAUAAUAAUACUGAAAGGGAUGAAAUAGAAGAAAUAAGCUUGAAAUACAACGUGUAUCCAAAGUGUUUCAAAUUCAAAUUGUAGAUUCACAUUCACGCGUUGCCUAUGGUUCCAAAAGAUACCUGGAAAGGAAAGGAAGUAGGAAAAUGAGGGAUCGACAGCUACAGAGCACCAAUUAACAGCAGCUUAAAGCCAAUUUCCAUCCCAGAAAGUGAGAUCAAAUAGUCCAGGAAUCAAUUCCAAGCAAGUAACACAUCAUCCAAACAUCAAACCAAGCUUAAAAUGGCUCAACUAAGACCAUUUUAGAAUCCAAACAAUCAGAAAAUUGAUUUAGGAAGUGAAGAUUUCAAAUUGCAAAACUGACACUCAAUGCAGCAGUAUUUUUCAAAGAUUUUCAGCUGUUUGUUAUUUGCAGAAUUUUUCCUUCUUUUUUGGUCCCCCGUGCAAAGCAAGUUUAGGGUGCCUUUAUAGGCAAGGGACUAGGGCAGUAGUAGAA
RNAcentral lists this long non-coding RNA (591 nucleotides) under Nicotiana benthamiana. Its description in RNAcentral is "long non-coding RNA (NBEN_LNC009903)". Lineage: Eukaryota; Viridiplantae; Streptophyta; Magnoliopsida; Solanales; Solanaceae. The record is from RNAcentral.